UGUGGAUUAAUUCGAUGCAACGCGUAAAACCUUACCUACCUUGACAUGUCGGAACCUUGGUGAGAGCCGAGGGUGCCUUCGGAGCCAGAACACAGGUGCUGCAUGGCUGUCGUCAGCUCGUGUCGUGAGAUGUUGGGUUAAGUCCCGCAACGAGCGCAACCCUUGUCAUUAGUUGCUACAUUCAGUUGGGCACUCUAAUGAGACUGCCGGUGACAAGCCGGAGGAAGGUGGGGAUGACGUCAAGUCCUCAUGGCCCUUAUAGGUGGGGCUACACACGUCAUACAAUGGUCGGUACAGAGGGUUGCCAAGCCGCGAGGUGGAGCCAAUCCCUUAAAGCCGAUCGUAGUCCGGAUCGCAGUCUGCAACUCGACUGCGUGAAGUCGGAAUCGCUAGUAAUCGUGGAUCAGCAUGUCACGGUGAAUACGUUCCCGGGUCUU
RNAcentral lists this ribosomal RNA (437 nucleotides) under uncultured Variovorax sp. RNAcentral's name for it is "bacterial SSU rRNA". It matches the Rfam family "Bacterial small subunit ribosomal RNA", at positions 940 to 1382 of the family's 1533-position model. Lineage: Bacteria; Pseudomonadati; Pseudomonadota; Betaproteobacteria; Burkholderiales; Comamonadaceae. The record is from RNAcentral.